GUAGCUCUCAUCAAAGCUUUAAGGAAGCUCUUUGUUUUUUGAAAGGGUGCUUUUAUGAGAUAGAGCUUUUUUAGAUAAUGCUUUUUUAGAUAAUGCUGGGGAAGGUUUUCCGGUUUAUCUCGGAGGGCUUGUAGCUCAGUUGGUUAGAGCGCGCGCUUGAUAAGCGUGAGGUCGGAGGUUCAAGUCCUCCCAGGCCCACCAAUUUACCUAUCCAUUUGCCUUUAUCCGUUUAUUUGCCGAUUUAUCGGUCCAUUGAAUUUAAGUGUUGGUAGCAGUUUUAUAAUGAUGAGAAAUCAUGCUUAUAAAAGAAUUCCUUAUAAAAGGCUUGUUUUUAAAAUGUGACGCUUAUCCAUUUCGCUUAGGCAAGAGAAACUUCAAGCGGUUCAAAUACAAAAGGCUUUAAGUUUUGCAAAACACUUUGAAUUUUGCAAAACACUUUGAAUUUUAAAGUGAUCCAAGUUCGUGAUCUCGAAUUUAAAAGUUUCGAAUGCUUUAUCCUUUUUUGGGGGCCGUAGCUCAGCUGGGAGAGCACCUGCUUUGCAAGCAGGGGGCGUUC
Molecule: unclassified non-coding RNA, 556 nt
Filed under: uncultured Bartonella sp.
Lineage: Bacteria; Pseudomonadati; Pseudomonadota; Alphaproteobacteria; Hyphomicrobiales; Bartonellaceae
Description: partial 16S-23S ribosomal RNA intergenic spacer
Rfam family: tRNA (bases 125-198)
Source: RNAcentral